UUUAUUUAUUUUAGUAAAGACAUUAUGGAAACCUUCUCAAAGUGGAUCAAUUCUUGCUACUACAUCAAUACCACAGCUUUCAGAUAUUUUUUAAACGACAGAAACUUCAAGUUUAUUUUAACAUCACGAUUCACUCAAGAUUGUUUAGAAAAUCUCUUUUGUGUUUUAAGAUCAACAAAUUUUGUACCAAAUGCACUGCAGGUAAAAAAUAAUUUAAAACUAAUUACUGUUUCACAGUGCUUAAAAUAUGUGUCCAAUG
Cinara cedri is the source of this 259-nucleotide non-coding RNA. NCBI's taxonomy places the organism in Eukaryota, Metazoa, Arthropoda, Insecta, Hemiptera, Aphididae. The record is from the annotation of a GenBank genome assembly.